AAUUUUGGUCAAUGGGGGAAACCCUGAUCCAGCCAUCCCGCGUGUACGAUGUAGGCCUUCGUGUUGUAAAGUACUUUUGUCAGAGAAGAAAAGGUAUCUCAUAAUACGAGAUACUGCUGUCGGUAUCGGCAGAUUAAGCACCGGCUAACAACGUGCCAUCAGCCGAGGUAAUACGUAUGGAGCAAGCGUUAAUCGGAAUUACUGGGCGUAAAGCGUGUGUAGGCGGUUCGGAAAGAAAGAUGUGAAAUCCCAGGGCUCAACCUUGGAACUGCAUUUUUAACUGCCGAGCUAGGGUAUGUCAGAGGGGGGUAGAAUUCCACGUGUAGCAGUGAAAUGCGUAGAUAUGUGGAGGAAUACCGAUGGCGAAGGCAGCCCCCUGGGAUAAUACUGACGCUCAGACACGAAAGCGUGGGGAGCAAACA
This 422-nucleotide ribosomal RNA is filed under the name uncultured bacterium. Its description in RNAcentral is "partial 16S ribosomal RNA". It matches the Rfam family "Bacterial small subunit ribosomal RNA", at positions 360 to 774 of the family's 1533-position model. The record is from RNAcentral.